RNAcentral lists this long non-coding RNA (1949 nucleotides) under Solanum tuberosum (potato). RNAcentral describes it as "long non-coding RNA (STUB_LNC000746)". Lineage: Eukaryota; Viridiplantae; Streptophyta; Magnoliopsida; Solanales; Solanaceae. The record is from RNAcentral.
UUUUCUGGCUAGCGUUUGGCUUAAAUCAAAAUGUUAAAAUGUGUUUAAGUUUGUUUUUCCCUUAUUUAAACUCGAUUGCCUUUAGUUCGCAUAAUUUUGUAUUAGUCUAAAAUAUCCAAGUUGUUGUCUUGCUAAUUUAAUCUCUGAUUGUAGCUUAAUUAGAUUGAUUGACUGUUAAGUUAUAAAAAUUCUCAGUUGUCCUAGUGUUCAAAAAAUGGAGAAUACAAACUUUGUUGUAUUGUUAAUGUUAAGUCUUGUAAUCUGAUUUUCGUGGAAUAAUGUUUUGUCUUAAUUUGUGCUGGUUGUUGUCUCUGGUUUAGCUGUAAAAAUGUUCAUCUCUUCAGCUUUGUGUUUAAUUUAGCUCGAGUAAUAUUCUGUUCCUUUUUUUUGUUUAUAUGAUUAGGUGUUUCUCUAGAGUAGCUCUGUUUGUAAUGUCUCUCCAUUUAAUUUAGUUAGUUGCUCUAAUCUUAGUUUUCUGCUUAAGUGUUAAUGUCGUAAUAUCUUAUGUUUAGAUACGCGUUAGAAAUAUAGCCUUGAUGUUUGCCGAUUAGCUUUUAGGGACAUUUAUUUCAUAACACUAACACUGUGUACACCAUCUCUAUGUUUACUUAGUCUAUCUCUCUUAAAUUUCAGCCCAUUUUUAUUGGUUUGUUGCUUAUUUCCAUUUGUAUGACUUAUUUGAAAAGCCGUCCUACGAUGCUCCUUUGAGCGAAUAUUACAAAAAUGUUUGGUUCGGGUCUUGUGCGAAAACAUGUAGUCUCUUUUGUAGUUGUUAAGUAUUAAAGCUUUAAACAUGCUACGGCCUACGUUGUUUAUUUUCGAACAUUCACGUCUAAGUAUAUGUUUACUAAUUCCUCAAAAUCUGCACCCAGUGAUGCUAUCUAUUUAUGUCUUAUCUCGAAAGGUCCUUUGUGAAGCAUAAAAUUUACUAUGGCAUACUUAAACGACUAGCAUAAUUGUAUAAAUGAGUUGUGUUAGUAGCUAGAAGUUGCCAUCGUUCUUCCAGUUGACUGCCCGCAUAGCUGAGACAUUGGUGUUAAUUUUUUCUUUGCUUGCUGUUAGUUGAGGUUUUCUAUUUUGAGAAUAGCAACAAUCCCCGAAUAAAAUAACAUGAUUCCUCUACUCCUUAAAAAGUUAAGUUGCUGCCUGCUUCCUUUUAUUAGAUUUCUUCCCUUGGUUUCCCUAAGUCAAUUAUGUGAAUUUAAUUUUGAUCAAAAUCCAAUAACAUAAAUCUGAGGCAAAUUUGUUCUUUCUUUUCCAGUAGUGCUAAUCCUUAAUGGUUUUCCUUUUUUAAUCGCUAGAAGAUAAUGAUUUCCCCAUCAGCAUGCCCCUUCCAUUUUAAGUUGCUUGUUGAGCACAUUGGUUGCUUAUUUAUUUCCGUGUGAGACCUGCUCGUGUUACAUUCGUAUAUAAUCCGUCCAAGCAUAAUAUUUAUGUGUAUGUCUUGAAGUUCCUCUAUUCUUAGUCCCUUGACAGCGUAGUGUUAGAAUUCUAUUUCCUAUUCAUGAAUUAAAUUCCUCCAUGCUUAGUCUCUUAAGCAAAAUUAGCUUUAGAACCAAUAUUUCAUCUUCAUGUAUUAAGUUCUCAUCAUACCAAGUUGGGUUUAGCAUUAAUUGGAUUAUGAAUUGUGUCUCCCUCAUUUCCUUUACUGUUGAGUUGCAAUAUAAACACCAUAAAUAUUUGUUUGUUAACAUAAAAACAAAUCCGGAUUUUUAUUCUUUCUAAGAAAAUUAUGGAUGAAUUGGUUUGACAGUGACAUUGAGUUUUAAAAGCUUUAACCACUCUAGUCUUUUUCUAUUUUUUUUUAAUGAAGUCAUAAUUGGUUUUAGGCAUUUGCUCUAUCGUGUAAGUUUAUUAAAAGAAUUUGUCUCACCUUUGCAAAAAAAUAAAUAAAAAUAAAAAAUGAAUAAUGAAUUUCUCUUCCUGUGACGCAAUAGGAUAUAAAAUAG